Long non-coding RNA from Protopterus annectens (West African lungfish), 1091 nucleotides. RefSeq lists it as uncharacterized. The transcript is spliced from 2 exons. The record is from RefSeq and is a predicted model, not a curated record. NCBI's taxonomy places the organism in Eukaryota, Metazoa, Chordata, Ceratodontiformes, Protopteridae.
CUAACAAGAAGAAGAGGAUGAAGAUGAAGAGGAUGAAGAGGAUCAAGCCUCGCCACGUGGAGAGAAGAGAAAGAGGGACUUGGAUGAAGAGGAGGAUGAGUAAUGACUCUUGUAAACUGCUGUGGCUACCUUUAAGCUGGUAGAGUGCACGUGUAGUCUUCUCCUGACCCAGACUGGGUGCACAAGAUAUUAAAUGCAUGUUGCCAGUACAGGAAAUGUACAUCCAUUGUAUUAAACUAGAACUGGACUUGAUGCAUUUACUCUACUACACAGACGUAGACUGCAAAACCAUUUUGAAGAAACUUGACCAUGUGGCAUUCCAAAGAAAGUUUAAUACAGCCUGGCAUCUUCUGGACUAAUUCUUGGCUUUCAUGUUUCGGCAAAUGAUUUGUGGUUUGGUAUGGUGAUAGUGUUCCCUGUGGUAUAGGAAAACCUCAACAGCAUCCUCCCCAAGAGUGAAGUCUUGAAAUGCUAAAGCUCAGGGUCACAGAACCUUUAGAUUUAAAUGUAUAUUACGUAUUGUACAUUACAUUUUGUAAUGCUCCCUUUUGAGCCAGUGUACAUUUGUUCUAACUUCUGAUUUUUUUAAUCUAUUUAAAAUGCAUUGAGCACUAGGAUGUUUAUCCAGCCAGCAGUAUUUGAGCUUGAGUGUAAAUUAUGUACAUAUGUAUGGGUAUAAUGUAAAGCUAUGCCAUUUUCUGUUUGAAGUACAAUUUCUCAUGUCUAACAAUUUGACUGUGGGGAAAAGUAUCAGAAUAUGGUGUGCAACCAUUUUGCAAUGCAAGUAGAUAUUUGUGGGGUGCAGAGUCUAGUAUAUUCAUAUAGCAAGUCUUCUGUUAUCUAAAAUCAACAAGUUUUCUCCUUUCUGUGGGUUGUAUGUCUGGAAAUGGCGACUGUGCUUGGUGCUGUUGGGCUCUUUUUCUCAGAGAAAAUACUUGCCCUUCUGAGUUAGCAAAGUUUUGUUUUGUACAGUACUUUGAGUUUAGAAUAAGCAUUCAGAGACUUAUUUAUAAACCACGCUUUUUAUAUUUGAAAAUGGCAGACAUUAGAAUUUUAGUGCUGUUUUAAUAAAUUUGAGUGUGUAUUCGGUC